Cyprinus carpio carpio is the source of this 2087-nucleotide long non-coding RNA. Lineage: Eukaryota; Metazoa; Chordata; Actinopteri; Cypriniformes; Cyprinidae. The record is from Ensembl.
AUGGUGGGCAACACUGCUAAAUUUAGUCCUAAUGAAUCCUUUAAAGAGAAAUGAAAUUUUAAGCAAAAAGAUUACAAUACACCAUACCACUUCCACUUCACUUGGGCCCGUAAAAUAGUGUGAAAAGUACAAUUAUGCAUUAGCGCUGCAUCUUAUGUUUGGAAUUACGCAGUCUCCAUUUAUCUUUGUGAAACAGUUGUUGUCUCUUUUCUUUGGGGAAACAAAGAAAAACUCCUAGCUCCAAUUGUAAUCAAAAAGUUUCAGACGCAGAUACUGCAUUACCUUUGACAUAAACGCACCCAUUGUUCCUAUUUCAGCCACCAUAGUUGAUUUUUCAGGGCUCAACCCAACAUAAACGGCAUGUGUAUUAUUUAGCAUGCACCCUGCUUUAAGGCACUUCCUUAGCUUUUCAAUCCACAGAGUCACCUGUGGACCCACAUGCACGGCUAAAGACCCCGAUCAGGCUUUAGGCAGGCGAAACCUCCAUCCUCCUGCUCCACUGGGCCACGGAAGACGGAUGAUUCCUCAAGGUCAUGAGCUGAAUGUACUGAGGCGCUCACCGACCGCCUCUCAAAUCCACUAAAAUCAACACAAUAAUUGAAAUAUUUUCAAGCUGAUUACACUGAGGCCCGAGGCUCGGCUGGUUGCUAUGAGUGUGCUCCUCGGUUGCUAGGGGGAGUAAAUCAUCUUGCAUUAUUUGAUUUUUGUUACUGAUAUGAAAGCGCUAGUCCCACGAUUAAAUGUCUCACAGUCAAACACCUAGGGGACAGAGAGGAGAGACAAAAUAAAACAGUCGACGUGAACCUGUCAAAUAGCAUUUCAAAAGUUUUCCUGUCCUGAGGGCUCGGGCGCAAAUCUGCCUGCUUAUUUGUGUUUGUUCCAGCUGAAAUGACAAAGCGAAGAGCACAGGCUGAUUGAAGGAGAGCAGAGCAAGCAUGGUUGAAAUGUCAGGGAAUCACACAUCAAUCUGAGCUCUGGUCACAUCAUCAGCCUCUCUUAGCGCUUUGUCCUGCUCCUAAACUAACUCUGAUUGAGUAAUUCAGGAGUGUGAUCCAGGUGGUAAGUGAAGUGGGAUGAGAACAAUUUAGGCAAUGCUUGAGCUGCUUUUUUAACCUCAAACUGAAAGAAAAACACACGGCUCACUGUUGUGUUGGGCCCAAGCAAGUAGUCUGAUGUUUGACUGACAAUUCAGAUGUUUAUUUAUUUAUUUUAUACUGACAUGUCAUUAUAGAAAAUAUUGUAAAGUCUCUCUCUCUAGACAAAUAAAAUAUUGUUUCAAAUCUUGAUUACAUUUUUAAAUUUUAUUUAUUUGCAAAUUUAGCUUAGAAUGUUUGAAAUGUGGAUAAAGAUGGGAACUACCUUUUUAUUAUUAUUAUUAUUAUUAUUAUUAUUGUUUUUAAUGUAAUGCAACUAUAACUGCUGACUAGUUUCAGAUUUUUGAAACUUUAUUUGAAAUUAUAUGGAGUCCUAUAUUAUUUAACAUAAUGCAUAACCUAAAAACCUUCCAUGUAUAUAUAAAACCUUCUCAGUGUUUCACUAUUCACUACAGGCUAAAAAAAAGCAAGAUUUUUAGAUAAAAAAUAUUAUGUGUGCAUUUUUGCUUUUUGAUUAUUGGCGCAUGUUUUUAUUGUUUCUGAAAAAAAUAAAAUCAUAUACACUCACAUAUGAAAAAACAAACAAACAAUAAUGUCAUAAAAGCUGCUUUAUUUAACAUGUGCAAGGUAGCUUUAUGGUGGCUGACUUGUUGAAAUCAUAUGACCAGCGAACUAUUCAUUUACAUCACGUAUUAUAGGAUACUUUCGCUCACUUACUGUCAUUAAUGCAAUUCUACAACAUCUUAGGAAACUGGCGACUAUUACUUCCAUGCCAUUCAACUGCCAUACUGAUGAGUGCCACGUUAAAAGAAAUACUGAGUGCCCCUCUAACACUCUUAUAACCAAUAAGAAUCUGUUUUGGGUACAGCUAGGAUUUGUAUAAGAAAGUAGCCUCUAAACCGAACCCUAUUCAUCUGCAUUAUUUUACAAAUGAAGCUGCACACCCUGCGGAGAUGAGCUUAGUUUCCCUGUUCCAUUGUAUCCAGCUGUACU